RNAcentral lists this ribosomal RNA (253 nucleotides) under uncultured bacterium. RNAcentral describes it as "partial 16S ribosomal RNA". It matches the Rfam family "Bacterial small subunit ribosomal RNA", at positions 524 to 776 of the family's 1533-position model. The record is from RNAcentral.
UACGUAGGCAGCAAGCGUUGUUCGGAAUUACUGGGCGUAAAGAGUGUGUAGGCGGUUCGCUAAGUUUGGUGUGAAAUCUCCCGGCUUAACUGGGAGGGUGCGCCGAAAACUGGCGGGCUUGAGUAUGGGAGAGGAAAGCGGAAUUCCUGGUGUAGCGGUGAAAUGCGUAGAUAUCAGGAGGAACAUCUGUGGUGUAGACGGCUUUCUGGACCAUUACUGACGCUGAGACACGAAAGCGUGGGUAGCAGACAGG